GACGAACGCUGGCGGCGUGCUUAACACAUGCAAGUCGAACGAAGAGCGAUGGAAGCUUGCUUCUAUCAAUCUUAGUGGCGAACGGGUGAGUAACGCGUAAUCAACCUGCCCUUCAGAGGGGGACAACAGUUGGAAACGACUGCUAAUACCGCAUACGAUCUAAUCUCGGCAUCGAGGAUAGAUGAAAGGUGGCCUCUACAUGUAAGCUAUCACUGAAGGAGGGGAUUGCGUCUGAUUAGCUAGUUGGAGGGGUAACGGCCCACCAAGGCGAUGAUCAGUAGCCGGUCUGAGAGGAUGAACGGCCACAUUGGGACUGAGACACGGCCCAGACUCCUACGGGAGGCAGCAGUGGGGAAUCUUCCGCAAUGGACGAAAGUCUGACGGAGCAACGCCGCGUGAGCGAUGACGGCCUUCGGGUUGUAAAGCUCUGUUAAUCGGGACGAAAGGCCUUCUUGCGAAUAGUGAGAAGGACUGACGGUACCGGAAUAGAAAGCCACGGCUAACUACGUG
RNAcentral lists this ribosomal RNA (510 nucleotides) under uncultured bacterium. RNAcentral's name for it is "partial 16S ribosomal RNA". It matches the Rfam family "Bacterial small subunit ribosomal RNA", at positions 28 to 507 of the family's 1533-position model. The record is from RNAcentral.